UCGAGUGUGUUGGGGAGGGAGGAGAUGAUUUGGUCUUUGACUAGCCUCUCAAAGCAUUUCAUGGGGUCGGUAGUCAUUUAGUUCAAUUACUUUCCUUUUCUUGGGCAUUUUUAUGAAAAUGUCAGAAAACACAGCAACUAGUUGGUCUGCACAUGCUCUGAGGGCGCAGCUAGCGAUGCUGCCUUGGCCGGCAGCCUUACGAGGGUCAACACGUGGAGACCGUAAGCACGUAACCCUUGUUGUCCUCAGGGGCUCUCAUCGGCAGUUUAGUCGUUUUGCUUGAAACGUGAGAAAAAGGUGUUUACCUCGUCCGGUAGAGCGGUGUUGGUGUCCACGACGUGACUGGCAUUCUUUUUGUAAUCUGCGAUUGUUAGAAGCCCUUGACACAUGUGCCUUCAUCCAAAGUUUUCACAUUCUAUGAUCAGAUUUCGUUGUUGGCAAUUACCUUUCUUUUAUGUCAACGUGGAUUUGAUUCGGGUGAAUGUAUUAUUGUUAUCCUGGCAAUCUUUCAUAGAUAGGUGAGGUCACAGUUAAACCUUUACUUAGUGUUUUGCCAGAGGUUAUAAUGACCUACAUAGAAGUAUCUGACCUGACGUUGAACAAAGACACAUUUCCCUCCGUACCACAGGACGGCGCUGUAGAGCUUUGAUCAACAUAACUGUGCUCUUUUCAUCCGGAGAGAACCUAAGCGUCACCAAAGAUUUGUUUAACUAACCCUCGUUGUUCUAGCUCUGGCGUCACGUGACAAAGCUGCAAAAUCAAAACAAUUCUCUCUAUUUAUCUGUAUAAACAAUGUAACCAGCUCCUGAAUUCAUUUACUAAUUGAUUUAGUUUCAGGUGACGUAAGUUAAAUAAUCAAUAGGUCCAUCUCUCUUCCAAUAACAUUGGCGAAAGCAGAACUGCACACGUGUUAAUGAAUAAACAAACAAGUGAGCUUGCUAGCUAAUUCAUUGACAGAUGUUCUGAUAAUGCCAUUAACCAACAAAAGAAAAGAUGCUCUGAUGUUCUGCUCUUUGACUUUACAUCUAAUGCAGCAACUGCCAUAAUAUUACUGGAGCAAUAGUAGUAUAGCAAUCAUAUCAGUAGUAUAGCAGUGUAAUAACUGCUGUUAUGCAGGUGCCCUUUCUGUUCAUUAGUUUUUCUGUAAUGUGGAAACUCUGUGUUUGUGGCUACUAGCUAUAUGUCAUUAUACUAUUGUGACUGUGUUGUGUUGUUGCUGUGUCAGGUGCAGGGGACCAAUGACAGCAGUGUCUGCUGUAGCUCAGGGUUACUUCCUGGAUGACUACCUGAAGCAGUUUGUAUUUAAGGAGUUUAGGAGAGCCCCUCUCAUCAACAGGUCGCUAAGAUAGAAACAUAACAUGUGCACACACACACACUCAAUAGAUUUGUAGAGUUAGAAUGACCUUCCUCUAUGUAUUUGUUUGUGUUUCUACUGUAUCUCUGGUGCAGGGGUUACUAUGGGGUUACUAUGUACGCUGGAGAGCUGUAGACCACUGGGUCAAACCGUUUCUGUGGCUGACAGAAGACAGGUGUUGUAGAGUUGAGAUCCUGGAACCAGUUGAUGAAUUUGAGGUGAGUUACUCUAAUCUAAUCGGUCCUGACUAGCCUGUCCAACGACCAUGCUGAUGUACUUCAGUCUCAACUCAUCAGAGAGAAGCACAGCAUUGGAAACUGUCAUUUAAAAAAAAGAAGGUAUCUGGACCAUAUUUUCCAUGUCUCUUUUUGUGUAGAAAUGCUCUCCCCAUUGCCUCCAUAGUCUCCCUGACCAGCCAUGCUCUGCUGUGGGUACACACCAUGCUGUGGUUACAAUGUACAGUACCUAGCUAUGUAAUGCCCAUGUUUUUGUCUUGUACAGCAUUUAUUUUCUCCGCUGCUGUUUGACGUACUUUAUCAUCCCCCUGAGGUGUGAAAUGUAUCUAUUUAAUGCAUAUAUUUUAGUGCCGCCUACUGUUAACUUCAGCCAUUUAUUCUUCCAUUCUAUCUUUUCAUUUUUAUUCAACACUAAUGCCAGUAUCAUCACAGAGAAUGUGGGAUGUCUGACAUGUCCUCCCCUGUGACGAUCCCCAUAGUGUCCCCUCCCCCAAGGUCAGAGCUGAGCCCUCUCUCCCUGGUGGUGAAGCCCAUGCAUGGGGAGCUGUUUGUGGAGGGUCUGAGGAUGGCCUCUACCCUUACUGGGUCCUGGGCUGGUGCUGCUCAGUGGGGGUUCGGGUAGAGGGCCUAUAGCUCGGAUCCUCAUCAGAGCCAAUGGUGGUUGAUGAUGUGUUUGUGUGGAGUCAUCUAUGGACUGGGGUCAGAGGGCUGAAUGGAUCUGACUGGGGUCAGAGGGCUGAAUGGAUCUGACUGGGGUCAGAGGGCUGAAUGGAUCUGACUGGGGUCAGAGGGCUGAAUGGAUCUGACUGGGGUCAGAGGGCUGAAUGGAUCUGACUGGGGUCAGAGGGCUGAAUGGAUCUGACUGGGGUCAGAGGGCUGAAUGGAUCUGACUGGGGUCAGAGGGCUGAAUGGAUCUGACUGGGGUCAGAGGGCUGAAUGGAUCUGACUGGGGUCAGAGGGCUGAAUGGAUCUGACUGGGGUCAGAGGGCUGAAUGGAUCUGACUGGGGUCAGAGGGCUGAAUGAAUCUGACUGGGGUCAGAGGGCUGAAUGGAUCUGACUGGGGUCAGAGGGCUGAAUGGAUCUGACUAGGGUCAGAGGGCUGAAUGGAUCUGACUGGGGUCAGAGGGCUGACUGGAUCUGACUGGAGUGCUAUUAGAGGUCAGAGUUUUACAUCACUUCGAUAAACUCUUGGCUCUAGGUAUAGGCUAAACGGCUCAGAGUUGUUCCUGAUCAGGUUCUGUUCUCCCAGGUGUCCAACUGUAUCACACUGUACCAUCUGUCCCUCGGUGGGGAGCUGUGGCGUUUGGUGGCCGCUCCUCUCUACUCCACCCAAUCAGAACCCUUUUCAGAGGGCGCUAUGACCCUUGUGACCUGCCUGACCCAGUUGUACCUGACAACCAGGCCUCAUUGAGGCUCCCCUUGAAGGAGAUGAGCUGCGCUGGCAACCUGCCUCAACCAAGACGGAGGCAGGAAGGUCAGAACUUCCUGUUUGUGUUUGAAGGGCAGAACGAGGCUGAGGAUGCACUGUAUCUUGAUGACCAGCGUUGGACCGAGGUCUGUUUGUUUACUCUGCUGUUCAUUAUAGUACCUUCCUGCAUUACCUCGCCGUGGGGAACACAGCCUGCCUACCACAGGAUGUUGGUGGCACCUUCAUUGGGGAGGAUAGGUUUGGGGUAAUGGCAGGAGCGGAAUAGGUGGACUGGUAUCAAAUAAAUCACAAACAUGGUUUGAUGCCAUUCCAUCUGCUCCGUUCCAGCCACUAUUCAAAUCAAAUGUUAUUGGUCACAUCACAUGGUUAGCAGAUGUUAACGCAAGUGUAGUGAAAUGCUUGUGUGUCUAGGUCC
Long non-coding RNA from Oncorhynchus gorbuscha (pink salmon), 3435 nucleotides. RefSeq lists it as uncharacterized. Lineage: Eukaryota; Metazoa; Chordata; Actinopteri; Salmoniformes; Salmonidae. The record is from RefSeq and is a predicted model, not a curated record. The transcript is spliced from 3 exons.